Hibiscus syriacus is the source of this 159-nucleotide small nuclear RNA. RefSeq annotates it as U1 spliceosomal RNA. The record is from RefSeq and is a predicted model, not a curated record. The transcript has a single exon. Lineage: Eukaryota; Viridiplantae; Streptophyta; Magnoliopsida; Malvales; Malvaceae.
AUACUUACCUGGACGGGGUCAAUGGACGAUCAUCAAGGUUUAUGACCUAGGUAAGCGACUUCCAUUGCACUUGGAGGGGCGUUUGUCUAGGUCUCCCACUGUGGGAGAGCCUACGUCAUAAUUUGUAGUAGUGGGGGCCUGCGUUCGCGCGGCCUCCUU